GAUGAACGCUGGCGGCGUGCCUAACACAUGCAAGUCGAGCGGGGUUGUUUUGGAGCUUGCUUCAAAACAACCUAGCGGCGGACGGGUGAGUAACGCGUGGGCAACCUGCCCUGUGCAGGGGGAUAACAUGCCGAAAGGCAUGCUAAUACCCCAUAAAGCUAUUUUGUCGCAUGAUAGAGUAGUCAAAGAUUUAUCAGCACAGGAUGGGCCCGCGUCUGAUUAGCUAGUUGGUGGGGUAAAGGCCUACCAAGGCGACGAUCAGUAGCCGACCUGAGAGGGUGAUCGGCCACACUGGAACUGAGACACGGUCCAGACUCCUACGGGAGGCAGCAGUGGGGAAUAUUGCACAAUGGGGGAAACCCUGAUGCAGCAACGCCGCGUGAGCGAUGAAGGCUUUCGAGUCGUAAAGCUCUGUCCUAAGGGAAGAAUAAAUGACGGUACCUUAGGAGGAAGCCCCGGCUAACUACGUGCCAGCAGCCGCGGUAAUACGUAGGGGGCAAGCGUUAUCCGGAAUCACUGGGCGUAAAGGGUGCGUAGGCGGCUAAUCAAGCCAGGGGUGAAAGGCUACGGCUUAACCCGUAGUAAGCCUUUGGAACUGAUUAACUUGAGUGCAGGAGAAGAGAGUGGAAUUCCUAGUGUAGCCGUGAAAUGCGUAGAUAUUAGGAGGAACACCAGUGGCGAAGGCGACUCUCUGGACUG
RNAcentral lists this ribosomal RNA (699 nucleotides) under uncultured low G+C gram positive bacterium MT35. RNAcentral describes it as "bacterial SSU rRNA". It matches the Rfam family "Bacterial small subunit ribosomal RNA", at positions 28 to 736 of the family's 1533-position model. Lineage: Bacteria; Bacillati; Bacillota. The record is from RNAcentral.